Long non-coding RNA from Cephus cinctus (wheat stem sawfly), 1136 nucleotides. RefSeq lists it as uncharacterized. Lineage: Eukaryota; Metazoa; Arthropoda; Insecta; Hymenoptera; Cephidae. The transcript is spliced from 3 exons. The record is from RefSeq and is a predicted model, not a curated record.
GUGAGAGACAGAAACAAAAAUGAAAAAAAAAAUAUUACGAAAAAUUUAUAAAUCGAUAUCGCGACUCUUGUAGCGACUAAAGGCGCGUAUUAAAUGAGCGAAUACAUAUUUUUCGAGUGCAACGAACGACUCGAAAGGUUGAAACAACGUGGGUGAUCCGUACCGACGUUAAAAGGCUGUCAAUGCGUGUCAAAAAUAGUUUUGACAAAGUAACGUCACGAAAGUCUCAGGCCCCGUCCGCACAAGACGACGUACUAUGUAAACAUCACGCGAGCGUUUUCGACCUCGAGAAUUUUCAAAGAAGCGACAUUUCGCCGCGACGACGGACACUCCGCAUCGUGCGGAGUCUCGAUAUUGCCCAACGGUCGUGUCUUUCACGUUCGGGCCUCGACUUCUCAACACAGACGCUCGACGCGACAAAGGGCUUCGCUGCUAGCAGACGGCAUACCUAGUGACCUAUAUACAUUCGGCGACUGUGCUACAACGUACCAGAGUCCGUCCGAGCGACGGCUUUGAGAGCGGAUAUUUUUCUAUGGCAGUUACUUCCAUCACGCAGAAGCUUUUCCAGAAUUAACAAAAGGAUCUUAACCUAGCAGAGCUAGAAUGAAGCAGCUGACGGAAUAUAUAUAAUGAAUCGAACAAGUGAAAAAAAAACGAAAAACUCUCUCACCCAAGUAUUCCCAUGUAACGAAACAUCAUACGGAUCUUGCGCAAUCGCUUCCAUCUGGCGAGAAAAUUUUUAUCGCGCUUUUUUGGUAGAUCCCACUGGCGUGGGCAUACGCUGCAAAGCAUGCCCAAUUCAUCGUCGCAACGCAUCGUCCUCCCGACGUCCCCCCGGCCCGCCACGUCGUACCCGAAGACGCCCGUGAGUCGGCGCUUACCGCCUUAAUAUCGCGCGUCUCCAGUCGAUCAGCUAUUAUAACGGCAGAGGAUACUCCGCGAGACGUCUUAAGUACAAGGCGUGCAAGGAGCCUCGAGACAAGAGAGGAAGCUCGAUGAAUAUUAAACAGUGCGAAUAAUAAAAAGGAGAAUUAUCGACGAGGUAAAAAGAGGAGGUAGCAGUAUAACAGAAAAAGAGAGAGACGAGUAGUAUGAAUGAGAGAAGAAAAGAAUAAGAGACAUGGAAAGAAGAAAAA